AAAAGCCGAUCGCAGUCCGGAUUGGAGUCUGCAACUCGACUCCAUGAAGUCGGAAUCGCUAGUAAUCGCGGAUCAGAAUGCCGCGGUGAAUACGUUCCCGGGCCUUGUACACACCGCCCGUCACACCAUGGGAGUUUGU
Molecule: ribosomal RNA, 139 nt
Filed under: Acinetobacter sp. phc1
Lineage: Bacteria; Pseudomonadati; Pseudomonadota; Gammaproteobacteria; Moraxellales; Moraxellaceae
Description: partial 16S ribosomal RNA
Rfam family: Bacterial small subunit ribosomal RNA
Source: RNAcentral